AUUGAACGCUGGCGGCAGGCUUAGCACAUGCAAGUCGAGCGGAGAUGAGGUGCUUGCACCUUAUCUUAGCGGCGGACGGGUGAGUAAUGCUUAGGAAUCUGCCUAUUAGUGGGGGACAACAUUCCGAAAGGAAUGCUAAUACCGCAUACGUCCUACGGGAGAAAGCAGGGGAUCUUCGGACCUUGCGCUAAUAGAUGAGCCUAAGUCGGAUUAGCUAGUUGGUGGGGUAAAGGCCUACCAAGGCGACGAUCUGUAGCGGGUCUGAGAGGAUGAUCGGCCACACGGGAACGGAGACACGGCCCAGACUCCUACGGGAGGCAGCAGGGGGAAAUUUGGGACAAUGGGGGAAACCCUGUACCAGCCAUGCGGCGUGUGUAAAGAAGGCCUUAUGUUUUUAAAGCACUUAAGGCGGGGAGGAGGCAACUGAGACUAAUACUCUUGGAUGGUGGACGUUACUCGAAGAAAAAGCACCGGCUAACUCUGCGCAAGCCGCCCCCGUAA
This 501-nucleotide ribosomal RNA is filed under the name uncultured bacterium. RNAcentral describes it as "partial 16S ribosomal RNA". It matches the Rfam family "Bacterial small subunit ribosomal RNA", at positions 30 to 523 of the family's 1533-position model. The record is from RNAcentral.